Bacillus rossius redtenbacheri is the source of this 2287-nucleotide long non-coding RNA. RefSeq lists it as uncharacterized. The record is from RefSeq and is a predicted model, not a curated record. Lineage: Eukaryota; Metazoa; Arthropoda; Insecta; Phasmatodea; Bacillidae. The transcript is spliced from 2 exons.
UUCAGGUUUAGCCUAAUUUAUACCUAUUGUAUUUAGUGUGUUGUAAUUAUUUUUACAGUAUUUUAUUAAAUUAAUUUUUAGUUAGGUAUUUCAAUAACUUAAUAUUUUAGCAUGGCUACCUUAGUAGUAGGUAGAAAACUGUAGACAUGUGCUAGAACUAUUUUCUUUAAAGUUUCUCUUCGCUGGAAGAUAGUCACGUGUGAUAUCAUGCGAGGUGGCGGUUACGGCAAGAUUCUGUGGGCCAGCGCGCGAGAUGGAUAGCCGGUGCUCGUGCUCCGCAAAAAAAGUUUAACCAGGGUUACGCGAAUGUGAUGUUUUUUUCUGAUAAUGUCACACAUAUUGUGAAGUAACUGUGUACAUAUGUUUCUGAACAAGGAUUGCCUAACAUAUCGGUGGUGUUCAAGCCCUACAAGUUCCUCAAGUUUCUGGAUUUGUACCCUAAAUACAGGGUGCUGCUGGUCAUCGGGCACGCCCUGUGCUGCUGUAGUAUGCUAUAGUUUAAGCACACUUGAAGGAAGAAUUCACUACAUGCUACGGACUAGCAAGCCCGUCUCCGACAGAGGGGUGGAGAUGUGGUAUAAGUCAUUCUGCCACUUUGCUGAUGAUUGGAUGGUUGCUUGCCCAGCACCAGCUCUGUGGAAUGAGUAUCCUCUAACUCUGAGCCGAAAGUGGACCGAGGACAUCAUCUGCGCUGAAAACUCUGCAGCGAAAAAUUAGUGAAUUACUGGUUGGUCCACGUGUUGGAGACCUGUGGACACACCCCUAAGCAUGCCUUUUGCACACACGUGUGUAUGACAAAGCAAAUUGGAGGGCAGGCGGACGAAGCCGUAAAUGAAUACUUACAGUUCAGUGGCAGUGCAGUUAGUCUUUUUAUUAUAACACAGGGCACUAAGAAGUGACGUUACAUUACACACACACAUGAUACAAAAGAGAAAAAACAGUAAAACAGAAAUACCUAACAAAGAUUUGUAAUGGAGCACCUCACGCAUGUGUUUGGCCUUGGCGGUGGCCCGGACGGGACUGGAGACCAGGACACUGAGACGCCACUUCCGCGCGCACAGAGUGGAAGUUACAAUACAAACACUACUGCAGCAUGCUGCGGACAGUACUGGGACCCGGGCUUUAAGGGAAUGGUUCACGAUUUUUGCAAACCAGCAUGUUAUUUUAUCCAAAUUGGGCCAGCAUGAUUUAAGUUAUAGAUAUAUCAAAUUAUAUCUAUAAAGAGGAAAGUUCAAUAUAUUUUUAGAGAUAUUAUUUAACGCCAUAAAAUUUUUACAAAAUUAAAUUUAAAUGUUUACAAUCAGACGUUUUUAAAGGUCUAGUUCCUUCAGUAUUACCAGGACUCUACAAGCAAUAAAAAUAUAAAUAUAUAUACAUAAUUAUAUUUCUAACGUAUCUUCAGAAUUUGGGGCACCAACCUAUUGACGACAGUCGUCGUACCCUCCCAGAUACAGAGGCCGUACCUGGCCACCGACGCGGGCCUGAGGGAGUCUGUUUUUCCCCAGUGAACUAUCAGUGUAGUGCAUCGGCCAGGGACGCACCCGCGUGCGCCCUAGCAUGCCAGUGGGCCAUUGUUAGUGUGUAAAUGAUUCUGUGUUGUAUAUAUUUUUUCCAAAUGACCGUGACUUUUUAAUAAGUGUAUAAAUAAUGUAUUAAUUAUUGUGUAAAUAAUCUUGUAAUUUUCGCAAAUGUCUCGCAGUGUCAAUAUGUAAUCGCGGCCUGGCGCUCGUCCGCGUCGCGAGGGGUGGCGCUCUCCCACGCCGGCCAAUUUCUCCUCCCCUCCCCUGCAGCCCGCGCGCGACGGCCCGCGGGCGGGCGGGGAAGGGCAGUAGUACUCAGGACUCGUUCAGCGGCGGACGUGCACGCCGCUCCGCGCUGAUCGCAAGGCGCGCCUACCGAGCUUGCGGUCCGGCGACAGCGCCACUGUACGGGUUUUGCGGCAGCUGAGCUGCCCUCGUUGUGCCGCUCACACGGUUGAGCGUACGAGUUACGUUACGAGUCGGACCUUGUAGGACGCGUAAGCAUAGUUACGCACCGCCGAACUGUCACCGUCGUUACGAGUCUAUCCGUAAAGAACCGCGCACGUGUCACGCGCCUUUGAGGAGCAAUUAGCAAUCAGCAACUUUGUUACGUGGGAGGAUUUCUAGUUCGUAUGGAGACGAGUGGGUUGCACGAGACGGUCUUCGGGAGUCCGGGUCUUCGUGUGAGGGGCGCACACCCCGCGACGGAUCCGCCAGGCCGCGGCAAGCUCUCAGGAUUGCAAUAAAGGGGCUCGUGGAACUGUUAA